CCUACGGGGUGCAGCAGUGAGGAAUAUUGGUCAAUGGUCGGGAGGCUGAACCAGCCAAGUCGCGUGAGGGAAGACGGCCCUACGGGUUGUAAACCUCUUUUGUCAGGGAGCAAGGUGCAGGUCGGGACCUGCUGUGAGAGUAACUGAAGAAAAAGCAUCGGCUAACUCCGUGCCAGCAGCCGGGGUAAUCAGGAGGAUGCGAGCGUUAUCCGGAUUUAGUGGGGUUAAAGGGUGCGCAGGCGGAGGCACAAGUCAGCGGGAAAAUCGCGGGGCUCAAACCCGCUGCGCCGUUGAAACUGUGUCCCUGGAGUGCGCGAAGGGUAGGCGGAAUGCGUGGUGUAGCGGUGAAAUGCAUAGAUAUCACGCAGAACUCCGAUCGCGAAGGCAGCCUACCGGCGCGCAACUGACGCUCAUGCACGAAAGCGUGGGUAUCGAACAGGAUUAGAUACCCGUGUAGUC
Molecule: ribosomal RNA, 459 nt
Filed under: uncultured bacterium
Lineage: Bacteria
Description: partial 16S ribosomal RNA
Rfam family: Bacterial small subunit ribosomal RNA
Source: RNAcentral